This 466-nucleotide ribosomal RNA is filed under the name uncultured bacterium. RNAcentral describes it as "partial 16S ribosomal RNA". It matches the Rfam family "Bacterial small subunit ribosomal RNA", at positions 29 to 506 of the family's 1533-position model. The record is from RNAcentral.
ACGAACGCUGGCGGCGUGCUUAACACAUGCAAGUCGAACGGAAAGGCUCUGCUUUUGUGGGGUGCUCGAGUGGCGAACGGGUGAGUAACACGUGAGUAACCUGCCCUUGACUUUGGGAUAACUUCAGGAAACUGGGGCUAAUACCGGAUAGGAGCUCCUGCUGCAUGGUGGGGGUUGGAAAGUUUCGGCGGUUGGGGAUGGACUCGCGGCUUAUCAGCUUGUUGGUGGGGUAGUGGCUUACCAAGGCUUUGACGGGUAGCCGGCCUGAGAGGGUGACCGGCAACAUGGGGACGGGAGUACGGCCCAGCUCCCUCCGGGGGGCAGCGGGGGGGAAUUUUGCAAAAGGGGGGGAAGCCUGAGGCAGAAACCCCGGGUGGGGGAGGACGGCCUUGGGGUGGAAAACCGUUUUCCCCUGGGACGAAGGGGGGGUGCCGGUAAUGGGAAAAGAAGCCCCGGCUAACUCCGU